This 922-nucleotide ribosomal RNA is filed under the name Laboulbenia systenae. Its description in RNAcentral is "partial large subunit ribosomal RNA". It matches the Rfam family "Eukaryotic large subunit ribosomal RNA", at positions 66 to 972 of the family's 3401-position model. The record is from RNAcentral. Lineage: Eukaryota; Fungi; Ascomycota; Laboulbeniomycetes; Laboulbeniales; Laboulbeniaceae.
CAACAGGGAUUGCCCCAGUAACGGCGAGUGAACCGGCAACUGCUCAAAUUUGAAAUCCGGCGCAAGCCCGAGUUGUAAUUUGCAGAGGACGCUUCGGCCCCGCGGUCGCCCCUCAAGUGCCCUGGAAAGGGACGCCAGGGAGGGUGAUAGCCCCGUCAGGGGGGGUUGACCCGGGGUCGUGUGAAGUCUCCUCGAAGAGUCGAGUUGUUUGGGAAUGCAGCUCUAAAGCGGGAGGUAAAUUCCUUCCAAAGCUAAAUACCGGCCAAGGACCGAUAGCGCACAAGUAGAGUGAUCGAAAGAUGAAAAGCACUUUGGAAAGAGAGUCAAACAGUACGUGAAAUUGUUGAGAGGGAAGCGUUUGCGAUCAGACGCGUCGGGGAUCGGCUCACCCUGGCCCGCGUGGCCGGGGGCACUCCCUCCCCCGACGAGCCAGCAUCGGCCCGGACGGCGGCAGGAUCCGACGGGGAACGUGACUCCCUCGCGGAGUGUUACAGCCCCGCCGGACCACCCCACCGCCCGUGCGGGCCGAGGCAGGCGCAUCCCCUUUGGGGUGCUCGGAUGCUGGCGUAAUGGUCGUAAGCGGCCCGUCUUGAAACACGGACCAAGGAGUCCAACGUCCGCGCGAGUGUGUGGGUGUCAGGCCCGCGCGCGAAAUGAAGGUGAACGAAGGUGGGAAGCCGCCCUUCCUUCCGGGGAAGGUGGCCGCACCAUCGACCGAUCCGGAUGUCCUCGGAUGGAUUUGAGUGGGAGCGCGGCCGCUGGGACCCGAAAGAUGGUGAACUAUGCCUGCUUAGGCUGAAGUCAGGGGAAACCCUGAUGGAAGGUCGCAGCGGUUCUGACGUGCAAAUCGAUCGUCGAAAGUGGGUAUAGGGGCGAAAGACUAAUCGAACCAUCUAGUAGCUGGUUCACACCGAAGUUUCCC